This 764-nucleotide long non-coding RNA is filed under the name Phasianus colchicus (ring-necked pheasant). RNAcentral describes it as "lncRNA (ENSPCLG00000008132.1)". The record is from RNAcentral. Lineage: Eukaryota; Metazoa; Chordata; Aves; Galliformes; Phasianidae.
CUGGCAUAAAAGACUGGACCUCAAGAAAUCAUUUUGUUCACCCUUCAGUCCCAGGCAGGAUCAGCUGUCCUUCAGCUGUAUCUGGGUGAUAUUUUUCUGACUUCUCCCAGUCAGCCUGUGGUGGAGAUCCUAAAAUGUUCCUGGAUAGCCUGUCCAGGAGAUGAACUAUCAGCCAGAGGGAACCCUUCCCAAUGCCCCUCCUCCCCCCAGCUCCCUUUCCUGUAAGAUAAGCCCAGCACUUCUUGUGAUAGCAAGCAUGGACAAAGAAAUCUUAUUGCAUUUCUCUGCGCAGCACGCUUUGAAAGGACUUUGCUUUGCUGCCUGCAACUUCCAGGUAACACUUACAGAACAAUGAGAUCCUGAAAGUGAGACUCAAGAUUCCUGCCUCAGCCCCUGGACCAUCUGCUUUUUCCAGUUCAGAUUCACUAGAUGUAGUCUCCAGAGGAGCAUUCGUCUUCUCAGCUGCACUGGCUGGUGUACUGCAGCUGUAUCCAGGAGAACCGAGACCUUUCUUUCUCUUCCCAGUGUCUACCACGUCUCCUCAGGCUGCAGUUCUUCCUUCACAUUUCUUCUGUGUAACAGAUAACAAAAACCUCCCUGGAUGGUCAAUAAUCCAUUUAGUUCAUCAGGCAAGAUCUCCAGUGCCAGAUGGUAUCUGGUCUUUUGAUUCAGCUCUGAGAUGUACUAGUGGAAAACCACAGGCAGACAAAAAGCUCCCUGUUGACUACAUAUCUACGCAGGAGCACACGCAAACCACGCUCUAG